RNAcentral lists this ribosomal RNA (408 nucleotides) under uncultured bacterium. Its description in RNAcentral is "partial 16S ribosomal RNA". It matches the Rfam family "Bacterial small subunit ribosomal RNA", at positions 28 to 526 of the family's 1533-position model. The record is from RNAcentral.
GACGAACGCUGGCGGCGUGCCUAAUACAUGCAAGUCGAGCGAAGAGGCGGAUGGGUGAGUAACGCGUGGGUAACCUGUCCUUAAGUUUGGGAUACCAUAUGGAAACAGAUGCUAUUACCGGAUACUAAAUGAUGGACAUGCGAUGCAUUAGCUAGUUGGUAAGGGUACGGCGUACCAAGGCGAUGUUGCAGAGCCGAGUUGAGAGACUGAUCGGCCACAGUGGGACUGAGACACGGUCCAGACUCCUACGGGAGGCAGCAGUGGGGAAUAUUGCACAAUGGGCGCAAGCCUGAUGCAGCCAUGCCGCGUGUAUGAAGAAGGCCUUCGGGUUGUAAAGUACUUUCAGCGAGGAGGCGUUACUCGCAGAAGAAGCACCGGCUAACUCCGUGCCAGCAGCCGCGGUAAUUC